GAAGGUAUAGCUCAGUGGUAGAGCACGUGCUUAGCAUGCACGAGGUCCAGGGUUCAAUCCCCCAUCCCUCCA
This 72-nucleotide transfer RNA is filed under the name Camelus bactrianus (Bactrian camel). It matches the Rfam family "tRNA". Rfam says of the family: Transfer RNA (tRNA) molecules are approximately 80 nucleotides in length. Their secondary structure includes four short double-helical elements and three loops (D, anti-codon, and T loops). The record is from Rfam by way of RNAcentral. Lineage: Eukaryota; Metazoa; Chordata; Mammalia; Artiodactyla; Camelidae. RNAcentral also lists the same sequence under 1 other name.